This 420-nucleotide ribosomal RNA is filed under the name uncultured bacterium. RNAcentral's name for it is "bacterial SSU rRNA". It matches the Rfam family "Bacterial small subunit ribosomal RNA", at positions 772 to 1180 of the family's 1533-position model. The record is from RNAcentral.
ACUGAAUAGAUACCCGGGUAGUCUACGCCGUAAACGAUGCGCACUAGGUUCGAGAGCCUCUGACGGUGCUCGAGCCGAAAAACAAAAGCGAUAAGUGCGCCGCCUGGGGAGUACGGCCGCAAGGCUAAAACUCAAAGGAAUUGACGGGGGCUCACACAAGCGGUGGAGCAUGUGGAUCAAUUCGAAGCAACGCGAAGAACCUUACCUGGGUUUUGACAUGCACGGAUGGUCUCGGGGAAACCUGAGUAAUCUGCCUUCGGGUGAAACGUGCACAGGUGCUGCAUGGCUGUCGUCAGCUCGUGCUGUGAAGUGUCGGGUUAAGUCCCUUAACGAGCGAAACCCUUAUCGCUAGUUGCCAGCGGGUUCAUGCCGGGGAACUCUAGUGAGACUGCCGGCGUUAAGCCGGAGGAAGGUGGGGUA